GAGACUCCGUCUCAAAAAAAAAAAAAAAAAAAUUGAGGCUAUGUAUCUGGUUUCCUUACAGUUCCCUCUUUUAGGACUAUUAAUAUCUAAAUGAAUUAGUCAGUCAUUUCUCCUACCUUCUCAAUCAUAUCUUUCUUUUGAAUUAAAACUAAACCAAGGAAGACAGGCACUAAUAUCUUCCUCUAACUUGCAAAGGUAUCUCCAAGGAAAAAUCAAGAAUUCUUCACAUGUUCUACUUUUGGAAAAGUAGAUAUUCAAUAAAUAUACAGGUAAAGUUACAGUGUUUCAGAAUUUUCAUAACUGAAAGGAAUUUGGGGGUGGAGGUUGAUGGAGGAAAGUGUUGCCACAUCCACUGCAACCUUCUUUAUGACAAGCACUGUAGUAGGCACUCCACAUAAUUUUUUCAUUUAAUACUCUCAAAGAUUAUAUAUGGUAAGAACUGUACUGUUUUAGUCUCAUUUUGCAAAUAAGAAAAAUGCAAAUGAUAUAGGUUAAACAACUUCCCCAAGAUGGAAGAAUAUAACAAUAAUAAUUUACAUAUCCAGUAUGCAAACUCCCCUCAAGAUACUCCAUCAACAGUCUACAUUGCUUCUGUCCCAGCUCUGUAAUUUGUAAUAGAAAUACUUCAUCCAGAGCCUGUACUUAACUGGGGUGGUUUAUCUUAUAUUCAUACAACAAUGUUUUUCUCACUUUCUCUCCUUUGUAUUCUCUCACCCAAAGCCCUCUACAGAGCUGCCAGUCUCAUACUUCUAUAUUUUCAUACAGCCAAAUACUAUCUUUAACAUCCCCUCUCCUUCCUAAAACAUCUAUAUCUUUAAAUAAAAAAUAGACUGUGUUGCUCUGUACCAAUUAGUAGGCCCAUCCUUCCAAGCCCUCUUGUAAUAUGUGGAGCUUCAUGUUUACACAGAGUAAAAGAAGCAUGUCUAUUUUAACAGAUUAAACUUUGGUUUGAAAAUGAUGAAAAUAAAGCUUGGAAUACUAUGCUGAUCAAAUUUCCCUUAAAGUUGUAUCAGUAAAUCAUAUUCCCCCUUUUUUCUCCCUCAGCUCUUUUCCUGGAAAUUAAUAUAUCUUAUUAUUCUUUAUUGGAAGAUGCAAAGACCACGGCCCAGCACCUUUCUAUGCAUCAUUCUAAUGUUGGUAGCUCCUUACCUAAAUUGAAAACAAAACCAAAAAGUAAAACAAAACCUCGAGGUUACUAGCUCUGGGAUCUUGAGUAAGUCACCUUUUCCACCUUGUUUCCUCAGCUGUAAAAUGAGGAUUAAUAGUAAUACUUACUUGACAGGGUUAAGAGGAUUAAAGUGAAUUGAAUAAUCUAUAAGAAACUGCCAUAUGAACCAUAAAUUUAAUGAUUAUAAUGAUGAUUAUGAUGGUUCACAAGGCCACAACUCCAUUUGUAAUCAACAUACAAAAUCAAAUAUCUAAAUGUGCAACACUCAAGUAACUAGAGGCUUUUUACAUCUAUAAAUGGUGUUGAAAAUUUUAAGUUUCCCAGAUUGCCAGGUUUCAUCUUUUUCCCAUGGCAGAAAAGUCUAGGUUGGAUAAGGUGGUUUCUGUCAUUUUAACAUUUGCUGAAACUUUUUCUCACUAGAUUUGGUGCUUUCCCUGCUGAUAGUGGGCACAGGGAGCCAGAAUCUAGGACUUGGCUUGGUGGGAACCAGUCCUGAGCUGCCUUCCUCCUUGAGGAACAACAUUAGUCUGAGAUUCUAAAAUCAGGGUUCACUUUCUCAGGCAAAGGAGGGUGGUGCAAUAUGGAAGCUGGGGAUAUGCAUUCCUUCUCCCUUCCCUACUGAUCCUGCAAUAUGGAAGUCUCUGUGCUCAAAGUGCCCUCCAUCCUCUAUUGCUUAUUGCUCCACUAAUUUCCAAUUUGGUGGAGUUAAAAAGAAAUACCUCUGGUGGCCUUAAAGGUCAAAGGGAGCUGUGUGGUCCUUCUCACCAAAACCUGGCUGUGGCAAAGCUGAACAGAAUGAAGAGAAGUUUUGAGUCAUUAUGGGAAGGGGAGGAGCAAACCAUCCCUAGGGAGUUUGGAACAAAGUGCUUUAAGCAGCACCGAAGCACUGGGUAGCAGGGUGGGAGGACAAAAGGGGUCAGGAGGUAGAAGUAAGGCUCAGAAACGAGGCCCUCAGAUAAACACAUCUCUUUCACUUGCAUCCAGUUUUACCAAGAACCCACUCUUGUCUCCUUCUUGCCUCCUUAUAUAACAAGAGCAGCACCACCGGAUGCUAGGACAAUAAAAAUGUCUGCCAUCCUCACAAUCAUCCUCUUCCCCAUUUGUUAUGUGCUUACUGGGUAGCAGGCACUGUGCUAAGCACUUUAUACUCAUUGUUCAUCAAAUUAUCACAACACCGUAGAUAUCAUUAGCCUAUUUUGCACUUGAGAACACUGGGGUCCAAACGUUUGAUAAAAUAUUCAUGGUCAUACAAAUGGUAAGCACAGAGCUGGAAUUUGAACAUAAGCCUGCCUGACUUCAGGGAUUCUAAGCUUUUAAUUAUUAGGAGACAUUGACACUAGUUUAACUCUUCUCUUCUCUUUUAUUCCCUCCACCUAUCCACCCCCUAACUUCCUUCAACCAAAUGAGGCCAGUUUACAUAGCCACCUUCUGAGAAAAGUUACCACAGGUGGUUUCUGCUUCGUAAGUUGCUGGGUUGGUUUUGUGGCCAACCUUGUGUCCUGAGACCAUAUGAUCUUGGCCAGAAUAGAUUGUUCCAACAACUGCUGCUUAAGCCAAAGUCAACUAUAGGCUGGACUUGCAUUAUCUCAUUUAAUCCUCAUAAAAAAGCUUUAAAUUAAGUACUAAUACCAAUUGCAUUUUACAAGCGGGAAAACUGACAUUCAGAUAACUUAACUUACCUGCCUAAGGUGGGACAGCUAGUAAGAAGCAAAACUAUGAUUGCAAGGUAGGUUUAUCUGAAUGCUUGAACACUGUUCUAACUCCCAUUUUUUCAGAGAUCAAUAGAAUGGGCCUUGAACAAGCGAUGCUCUUGAAUGCAAGUUGUUAACAACUAAGAGAAAUUGCCCAGACACUGCAACAGGAGAUGCCAACAAAGUAACAGAGUCAGAGAAGAGCUGAGUCUUGGGAAUGAAAAAGUGAUGAGGGGAUGACUUCCACAGUGGCUAUCUGGUCAGUGGCUAUCUGGGAUUUCCACUCCGUGAGUCUCUGAUAUGCAGCCUUAGAACGUGUUGCCUGUGUUUCCUGAUUUACCCAUGUGGGUCUGUCACCCUCAUCACCUCAGGUUCAAGGAUUUGCAAACCUGAAAUCCACAAUGUCAGGGCACCAGAAAAAGCAGAGAAACAGUAUUGGGGAGUGGAAAAGCCCACCAGCCCUGCCUCAGACCACCUCCAUCCACACUCGGCCCUUACUAACUGUGAGAUCUCAAGGUGAGUUAUCCUCUCAGUACCUCAAUUUUGCCAUCUGGAAAAUGGGAAUGACAAUGAUAGCACUUGUAAGGUUCAUGUGACAAGUAAGUAGCACAUGUAAUAUGCUAGGUACAGCUCCCAAUACAGAAUAAAGACUUAGUCAACAUCAACAGCUAUCAUUAUUGUUAAGUAUUAAGAAAUCUGUUGCCUACUUAUGCUAUUCUUCCAUGUUCUAUAUGGUAUAAGCAUGUGGGAAUGUUAGAAGUUAGAGAUGAUAAAGGAGGAGGAGAAGGAGAUUUACAACCCUACACUCCCUCACUGCUGCAGAGAUUCUUCCUGGCUCUCACACGCUGGCAAGCAGCUGGCUCUCCGUCCUGGCAGAAAAUGCCCAAAAGAGGUAAAAGAUAGAGACUGCACACCAUCUGUGCAAACCAGGCUGCUCUUGUAGUUUUUAGACAAAAUCUAAAUGUAGUCAGAUAUGACCUGCCCUUUUAAGAUAGAAUUAUUCUAUUUCCUCCCUCCACCCCUCCCCGUCCCCCACUCUGUCCCUCACACAAAACUCCCCCACAUAUCUCAAGAAACUUUCAGCAUUUUGAAAGACAUACUCUGGGGUCCCGUUGUGACAGCCUUGUGCCACAUUAACUUCUCUGUCUUGUUCGCAGCAAAGAAGUCUUUGCUAAUUUCACAACAGGAAAGCAUGCAAGAAAUUCGAGAACAAAACAAAUCUACACGCAGAGCCCAGCAUCUUCAAGUAAACUCCCCGAGGUACAGACCCGAGGGUAGAUGAGUCCGGACUGCAGAUGAGGCAGCUGCCUCUUAAACUGCAAGGGGACAGAAAAAGUCAUUUGCCUCUGAAAAACCAACUCUGAAUACAAAUUGAAAUCUCGUUUUCUCCCUUGAAAAAGUCAUCUCGGCUGCAAGCAAAAAAAGCUAUUUCCUUACUGCAAUUAUGAAGCUAGAUAAUAAGAAAGUUGUUACCUUGAAACCUACUCGAAAAACUGAAAGUCAAGAACAAUUCUUCCCUCCCCAUAAAGCCUCUGGUCCCAUGACCAGCAAUCCUUUCUCAAGGCUCAUUAGAGCAAAGGCUAACAGGUGACCCAAGCGAUGAGUUUCCUGCAGGAGAAGCUGCGUUAUUGGUUGGAAGGCUGGGUGGAACCACAGAGGAGCUGCUCAAUGGGAACCGCUGCCUGGCUGUGAAUUGAUGAAAGUCAUCCACCAUUUCACAACUUUCACUUCCUACCUUUGAAGUCUAAUGAGCAUGAAUUGCCACAUCCAGACUAUCAAGAUUACCCCAAUGUAGAUGAGAACCUGAGCAAAUUAUUUUUAAACUGUGUAACAAAAUUAUUUUGAAAUCAAAACAAGGGCUACCCUUUGAAAGGAAGAUAUCCAGAGAUGAAGAGGACCCUGUGGUGGGCAGAAGGAGCAGAGAAAAAGGGAUGUAUCUGAAAGUGUUUCAAGAGUAUUUAGAAUGCACCCUUGUUCAAAAAAUGCCCCGUCCCUUCUUGUGGAGAGUAAUAGGAGAGGCAAUGCCUCUUUAGUCAGAGUCAUGGUUCUCCACUUUGGCUGCACACUAUAAUCACUUGGCCCAAUUAUAAAAAAUACUAAUGCCCAUCCCAACUCUCAGAGAUUGGAAUUUAAUUGAGUUUGGGGUAGGUUUCAGACAUUUUUUUUAAAAGGCCAAGAUUAUUUUAGAGUGCCGUCAGGGCAUUAAGAAGAUCUGGAUUCAAUUCUUUUUGUAUGAUCUUAGACAAGUUAGUGAGCCCUUCUGAACCCCAAUGUAUCCAUAAAAUAAAGGUUUUUUUUUUUUUUAAAUCUACUUCACAGAGCCAUGUUGAGGGGAAAAAAGAGAAUAAAUACAUGAGAACUCCCAACACAGACUCUGGCACAUAGGUGGCACUCAAAGUAACCUAAGGGUACUUGAAGGAAAUGAGAGUCAAAGUCCUUUCCCUUCUGUAGCACAAAGGGCCUCUCCACCCCUUUUCCCAAAGUUAAGUGAUUCUAUGUAUUCAACUAGCAACUGUGGGACUGAGGCCAUGUUGGGAGAGGGACUGAAGUAUGACCUGACAUCACCCAUGUCUUCCCAUUUCCAGGUAGUCAGGGAGGAAUGCCCUAACUGAGCUUGGGGAAGCCCUUGAAUGUUGGAGAAUGGCCAACUCUUCCAAAGUGAAAGUAUACAACCCAACAUGGCAGCAGGAGAAGGAAAAACAGAAAUUGCACGGAGGUCUCUGCUCUGAAGCCUGCAGAAUAACAAAGGAGUCUAUGAGAUGGAGAAAUAGAAGGGCGAAGGGAUCUUCACCGUGUGUGCCAUGACGCCUUGACACUGAUACCAAACAAUGUUGUGUCUGUCUCUAUAAUCCAGAGGAUGAGCCAUAUGGAUUUUGUGACAUAAAAAUCAGUGUGACAUAUGACUACCAUAAAAGAAGGAAUUAACAGACUAUUUUCUUAAUACUUGACUAAUAAACAUUUACUACAUGUACAGUUACUUGUUAUUGUACUUUAUGUUAUGAAAUUGGAGCAAGCAAGAAAAGAAUCCAAGAGAAAAUCAUUCCUUCCCUUCUCCAUUUAACUGUUCUUUCCUCUGCCCAGUUGGAAGAAGCUCUGUGGAGAAGAGACUGCAAUGUUCCCAAAUUGCAAAUAACAUGUCAUGAUUUAUUAUAGCUACAUUCCAUUGCUUAGCCUCCCCUAGAGCCCUUGCCAUAUUCUGCCCUUUUUGUCUCUGUUUUUUAAUGCAUGGAGCAAAUUCCAUCUUACUCCACCACAUGUAGGUGUCCAAAAAAUUCUGCUCUUUAUUUUUUUUAUAUCAACUUAAAUUCAUCUCAAGUCUCUGGCUCUCUGAGCUGGCAGGAAACAAACUGUCAUUACUGGAGUCCUCUUACCUCCUUGGCUUACACCAGAAUCUGGGGAAAGUGCAUCUAUAGAAACUGGGAGAAGGGUUUCUAAUCUCACACCUACCUUGAUCUCGUCUAAUAUUCUCACUGCCCAACCUUUCUGUUCCAAUGCUAAGUAGGAAAGGGGGAGUGUGGUGAGGGGACUUUGCCUCAGCUGGACGCCCUGGUGCUUGGAGUGGAACAUCUCUGAGACAACAUGCAGCUGUCCUUUCUGACAUAUUACCCAGCAGGACAUGACCACGGAACAGGCAAGAGUCCCUAUUACCCAUAGGCCCACCAACCUUCAUCCCUUCCUGGUGACCCAAAAUUUCCACUUUUUCUUGGUCUUCAAAGGUACCCCUUUAUUCUUCCCCAUUACCUUAUUUCUUUAGGGAAGCUUGCAUAAUGUUGACAAUGAGCCAGGGUAGGACUGGGAACCCACAAUGAUGAACAUCUUAACAAAGAUUUCCACCACUCACGCUUGUGUUAUCAUUUCCUCCCACACAGAAUUUCUCUUCGCUCCUCACCCCAUCCUCCAUUACUACCAAACCUCGAGUCCCAGAGGGAAGAGUCUGUUUAUUACUUAUUUUAUAUUUCCUAAAAUACCUAACAUGGGGAUUCACGACCACUGCAUUUGGGAGAGCAAAUCCCUCCCAGCAGCCCCUACAAAUUUUCAUUGAUAUGUAAAAAGAAAAUUUUUAUUUUUGCUACAACUGAGUGUAAAUAUUGUCACAGCAAUGCCUGAGAUGAGAAACAAAGUAAGUUAGGCGGCUGGGUGUUUAAAAACUUUGUUGUAACUAAGAAGUCAUCAGGUCGGCACUACAGAAAAAUUGCAAGAACUUCGCCUCCAUGAAGAAUACAGCCAGGGCAGAACAAGCUCUUCUCUAACAGCCACCAUCCUGACAGCAACCAAUAACCCCAACCUUGUACUGACAUUAUGGUAGCAAUAGCACUGUAAUCAUUGCUGACCUAAUUAGUAUUGUUGUCAAUCAUUUAAUUAUCUCAUGUGUCUCAAAAAAUUAUAGUAUUUGAAACAUGCCUCUGUUGCAGUUACUAAAAGAUGUCCACUCUGGCCGGAUGCGGUGGCUCACGUUUGUAAUCCCAGCACUUUGGGAGGCCAAGGCAGGUGGAUCAUGUGAG
Molecule: long non-coding RNA, 7361 nt
Organism: Chlorocebus sabaeus (green monkey)
Lineage: Eukaryota; Metazoa; Chordata; Mammalia; Primates; Cercopithecidae
Source: RefSeq, a predicted model, not a curated record